GCCUUGUAAUUGGAAUGAUGGGAAUUUAAACCUCUUCCAGAGUAUCAAUUGGAGGGCAAGUCUGGUGCCAGCAGCCGCGGUAAUUCCAGCUCCAAUAGCGUAUAUUAAAAUUGUUGCAGUUAAAAAGCUCGUAGUUGAAUUUCUGCUGCAUCGCGUCUUCUUUUUGAUGAGUUGGCGUAUUGCGGCUUUUUUCGGAUGAUUUUUUUGUCCGGAUGAUUACUUUGAGAAAAUUAGAGUGCUCAAAGCAGGCUUUUGCCUUGAAUAGUUUAGCAUGGAAUAAUAAAGUAGGACUUUGGUUCUAUUUUGUUGGUUUUAGGUACCAAAGUAAUGGUUAAUAGGAACAGUUGGGGGCAUUCGUAUUUAACUGUCAGAGGUGAAAUUCUUAGAUUUGUUAAAGACGAACUACUGCGAAAGCAUUUGCCAAGGAUGUUUUCAUUAAUCAAGAACGAAAGUUAGGGGAUCGAAGACGAUCAGAUACCGUCGUAGUCCUAACCAUAAACUA
RNAcentral lists this ribosomal RNA (502 nucleotides) under Theileria luwenshuni. RNAcentral's name for it is "SSU rRNA". It matches the Rfam family "Eukaryotic small subunit ribosomal RNA", at positions 500 to 1039 of the family's 1831-position model. The record is from RNAcentral. Lineage: Eukaryota; Apicomplexa; Aconoidasida; Piroplasmida; Theileriidae.